Molecule: transfer RNA, 73 nt
Filed under: Pteropus alecto (black flying fox)
Lineage: Eukaryota; Metazoa; Chordata; Mammalia; Chiroptera; Pteropodidae
Rfam family: tRNA
About the family: Transfer RNA (tRNA) molecules are approximately 80 nucleotides in length. Their secondary structure includes four short double-helical elements and three loops (D, anti-codon, and T loops).
Source: Rfam by way of RNAcentral
GGCUCCACAGUGUAGUGAUUAGCAGGUCUGCUUUACAUGCAGAAGGUCCUGGGUUCGCACACCAGUGGAGCCA